GGUGCGAUACCCAAGUGGUUAAGGGGCCAGUUUUAGGUCUUCUAAACGCACUGGUGCUUCGGCGCGUGAGUUCGAACCUCACUCGCAUCA
Molecule: non-coding RNA, 90 nt
Organism: Filobasidium floriforme
Lineage: Eukaryota; Fungi; Basidiomycota; Tremellomycetes; Filobasidiales; Filobasidiaceae
Source: the annotation of a RefSeq genome assembly